RNAcentral lists this ribosomal RNA (2609 nucleotides) under Escherichia coli. RNAcentral describes it as "partial 23S ribosomal RNA". It matches the Rfam family "Bacterial large subunit ribosomal RNA". The record is from RNAcentral. Lineage: Bacteria; Pseudomonadati; Pseudomonadota; Gammaproteobacteria; Enterobacterales; Enterobacteriaceae.
CAUAGGUUAAUGAGGCGAACCGGGGGAACUGAAACAUCUAAGUACCCCGAGGAAAAGAAAUCAACCGAGAUUCCCCCAGUAGCGGCGAGCGAACGGGGAGCAGCCCAGAGCCUGAAUCAGUGUGUGUGUUAGUGGAAGCGUCUGGAAAGGCGCGCGAUACAGGGUGACAGCCCCGUACACAAAAAUGCACAUACUGUGAGCUCGAUGAGUAGGGCGGGACACGUGGUAUCCUGUCUGAAUAUGGGGGGACCAUCCUCCAAGGCUAAAUACUCCUGACUGACCGAUAGUGAACCAGUACCGUGAGGGAAAGGCGAAAAGAACCCCGGCGAGGGGAGUGAAAAAGAACCUGAAACCGUGUACGUACAAGCAGUGGGAGCACGCUUAGGCGUGUGACUGCGUACCUUUUGUAUAAUGGGUCAGCGACUUAUAUUCUGUAGCAAGGUUAACCGAAUAGGGGAGCCGAAGGGAAACCGAGUCUUAACUGGGCGUUAAGUUGCAGGGUAUAGACCCGAAACCCGGUGAUCUAGCCAUGGGCAGGUUGAAGGUUGGGUAACACUAACUGGAGGACCGAACCGACUAAUGUUGAAAAAUUAGCGGAUGACUUGUGGCUGGGGGUGAAAGGCCAAUCAAACCGGGAGAUAGCUGGUUCUCCCCGAAAGCUAUUUAGGUAGCGCCUCGUGAAUUCAUCUCCGGGGGUAGAGCACUGUUUCGGCAAGGGGGUCAUCCCGACUUACCAACCCGAUGCAAACUGCGAAUACCGGAGAAUGUUAUCACGGGAGACACACGGCGGGUGCUAACGUCCGUCGUGAAGAGGGAAACAACCCAGACCGCCAGCUAAGGUCCCAAAGUCAUGGUUAAGUGGGAAACGAUGUGGGAAGGCCCAGACAGCCAGGAUGUUGGCUUAGAAGCAGCCAUCAUUUAAAGAAAGCGUAAUAGCUCACUGGUCGAGUCGGCCUGCGCGGAAGAUGUAACGGGGCUAAACCAUGCACCGAAGCUGCGGCAGCGACGCUUAUGCGUUGUUGGGUAGGGGAGCGUUCUGUAAGCCUGCGAAGGUGUGCUGUGAGGCAUGCUGGAGGUAUCAGAAGUGCGAAUGCUGACAUAAGUAACGAUAAAGCGGGUGAAAAGCCCGCUCGCCGGAAGACCAAGGGUUCCUGUCCAACGUUAAUCGGGGCAGGGUGAGUCGACCCCUAAGGCGAGGCCGAAAGGCGUAGUCGAUGGGAAACAGGUUAAUAUUCCUGUACUUGGUGUUACUGCGAAGGGGGGACGGAGAAGGCUAUGUUGGCCGGGCGACGGUUGUCCCGGUUUAAGCGUGUAGGCUGGUUUUCCAGGCAAAUCCGGAAAAUCAAGGCUGAGGCGUGAUGACGAGGCACUACGGUGCUGAAGCAACAAAUGCCCUGCUUCCAGGAAAAGCCUCUAAGCAUCAGGUAACAUCAAAUCGUACCCCAAACCGACACAGGUGGUCAGGUAGAGAAUACCAAGGCGCUUGAGAGAACUCGGGUGAAGGAACUAGGCAAAAUGGUGCCGUAACUUCGGGAGAAGGCACGCUGAUAUGUAGGUGAAGUCCCUCGCGGAUGGAGCUGAAAUCAGUCGAAGAUACCAGCUGGCUGCAACUGUUUAUUAAAAACACAGCACUGUGCAAACACGAAAGUGGACGUAUACGGUGUGACGCCUGCCCGGUGCCGGAAGGUUAAUUGAUGGGGUUAGCGCAAGCGAAGCUCUUGAUCGAAGCCCCGGUAAACGGCGGCCGUAACUAUAACGGUCCUAAGGUAGCGAAAUUCCUUGUCGGGUAAGUUCCGACCUGCACGAAUGGCGUAAUGAUGGCCAGGCUGUCUCCACCCGAGACUCAGUGAAAUUGAACUCGCUGUGAAGAUGCAGUGUACCCGCGGCAAGACGGAAAGACCCCGUGAACCUUUACUAUAGCUUGACACUGAACAUUGAGCCUUGAUGUGUAGGAUAGGUGGGAGGCUUUGAAGUGUGGACGCCAGUCUGCAUGGAGCCGACCUUGAAAUACCACCCUUUAAUGUUUGAUGUUCUAACGUGGACCCGUAAUCCGGGUUGCGGACAGUGUCUGGUGGGUAGUUUGACUGGGGCGGUCUCCUCCUAAAGAGUAACGGAGGAGCACGAAGGUUGGCUAAUCCUGGUCGGACAUCAGGAGGUUAGUGCAAUGGCAUAAGCCAGCUUGACUGCGAGCGUGACGGCGCGAGCAGGUGCGAAAGCAGGUCAUAGUGAUCCGGUGGUUCUGAAUGGAAGGGCCAUCGCUCAACGGAUAAAAGGUACUCCGGGGAUAACAGGCUGAUACCGCCCAAGAGUUCAUAUCGACGGCGGUGUUUGGCACCUCGAUGUCGGCUCAUCACAUCCUGGGGCUGAAGUAGGUCCCAAGGGUAUGGCUGUUCGCCAUUUAAAGUGGUACGCGAGCUGGGUUUAGAACGUCGUGAGACAGUUCGGUCCCUAUCUGCCGUGGGCGCUGGAGAACUGAGGGGGGCUGCUCCUAGUACGAGAGGACCGGAGUGGACGCAUCACUGGUGUUCGGGUUGUCAUGCCAAUGGCACUGCCCGGUAGCUAAAUGCGGAAGAGAUAAGUGCUGAAAGCAUCUAAGCACGAAACUUGCC